AUGGGUAAAGGAAAUAAAAGCACAAGACAUCAUCAUAGAUUAUUUUUGCCUUGUUUUCUGAUUGGAAGUUAAAUGGUGGAACAUUCCAGAAUGUAACUAUAGGGGGAGGGCAGAGAAGGCACUAAACAGGCAGAGGAGCCUGGGAAGGCUUCAGCAAGGAAAGGAUGGGAAGGCACUGGAGAAGGAUCCCUAGCUGGUGAUCAAUCUGUGUAGAGCGCUGUCAGAGGUUCUUAUGACAGAUCCCAUCGAAGCCACACAUGCCACAUCUCUGGGACUGCCUGAUUUCCUAGAACAUGAAGUCCCAGGAUUGGAAGCAUAUAUAACUAAGUAACCAAUCUGAUGCUUAAAUUCCUUACUGCCAAUUAAUUGGAGAUAAUUUUCCAAAUUCUUGGUAAAAUUUAUAUUUUUUGGAAGACACAUACUUGGAGGCAUUCACAGGAAAUAUAUGCAUAAGAUGGCCAAGAGCCCUCCAGACCAAAAUAAUGUUAUCAAAGAUGUCCAAGGAUCUGCAAAUAAGAGGCAAGAUUCCUCAGACAGGCUGCACCAGCGUGAAAAAUCUCCUUUCAAGAAACAGACUUCGCUAUUAGUUCUCAAUGCACCAAAAAGUCAGCAGUGGUAGCUCCGCCUCCUCUCCUCCCCCAAAAGAAAUCUUCCUCGACUUACAAUGGAGUUACAUCCUGAUUUGCCCAUCAUACGUUGAAAAUAUCAAAUCACCAAGAAUAAGAGGAUUCAGUCAAAAUUUCUGAGACAAUCUCCUCUGGCUGAGCAAGAGGUGGUCCAAAAGCUUCUGCUUCUUUUGAGUUGCACUUAUGGUGUUGCUUUUUCUCACAGUCGACAGUGGAAGCAACAACGGGUAGGUGUGCUCCAGGAUGUGUGGUUUCAGUGGAUGCUCCUAAUGCAAGCAAAGAAGGGACUGUAAAUAAAGCAGACGUGCAGAUGCUACUACUGUGAGAAGCGCUGGGUCUUUUCCCUAAUGCUCAGUGAAUCCCCAUGACUCCAGGACACUCUUGACUUCCAGCCAAUACAUCACAGUCUUCCCCUGCAAUGGCUACAGAGAGAGGUUAAAAAAAAUAGCCCACAAGAGUGCUCUUUCCUUCUCUCUCUGCUCCUUCAGCUCCAAGAAUAGACUCAUUGACGAAGUGUGUCUCUGUGUGUCUGUCUGUUACCCCAUGAUGCAUGCUGCUUCUUAUCCUGUUCUUGGGCCUUUCCUAGAAACGACCUCAGGCAGAGAACUGAAAAUUAAGCAGAAGGAGAAGGGACUAAAGCUACUUCCCAAGAAUAGUUUCAACAAUAAUUACGGCAGUGACGAACGUGCUGUCUGGGGAAAUGUUUGGGAACCUUCAACCCCUUGCGCACAGGCACACAGUUAGUGAGGGGCGUGCAGCCCAUUCACGGGCUGUCUGAUUCUGACAGCUGAGUUCUUACACAGGGCAUCAUCCUAAGCUCAAAAAUGUCAGUUGGAAAGGAAGAAAUCAGCAUAGCGUUAUGUGCAGAGCGAGUGCCUAUAUCGAUGAGAAUCGGAAAGAGAGCCUCUCCAUGCUUCUCCACCUGCUCCGUGUCCAGGACACUGACCUGUCUCACCUGCUGCAACUCCUAUCUCUUUCUGCACCUGAUGCUCUCCAUCAGGGUUCCAGUAACUCUCCUGUGUCCCUUCAGGCUGGGGUGGAAAUGCUCCCCACCCUGCAUGGCUGCUAUGGCUUCCCUGCGUGCUGCCCACACCUUGAACAUCAUUUCUUCAUUAAACUCUCCUAUGUUACCCAUUUUAAGGCUUCCACCUGUUUCUUGCCAAUACCCUGACUGAUUCACACUUACAAUAUUACAUUACAAAUAGAAAAUCUACAUUGCACCUACAUUCUGACUGUCAAGAAUUUCUAUACCCCGCAAAUACUAUAAAGGUCCUCCCUCCCUCCAUAAAACUUCCCCUCCCACUCUGUCCUUUCUCCAGCAGAUGCCACACACUCCACACUUCACACUCACAGCUUUGUUUUCUGCUCUUCCUUCUGUGGCUCUCGAUCCAUAUGGUGAUGCCCCUAACCCUCCGUCUCCCACCUCACUCCCACCGUUAU
RNAcentral lists this long non-coding RNA (2066 nucleotides) under Equus caballus (horse). RNAcentral's name for it is "lncRNA (ENSECAG00000044015.1)". Lineage: Eukaryota; Metazoa; Chordata; Mammalia; Perissodactyla; Equidae. The record is from RNAcentral.